ACGGAAGGCAGCAGUGGGGAAUAUUGCACAAUGGGCGCAAGCCUGACGCAGCGAUGCCGCGUGAGGGAAGAAGGUUUUCGGAUUGUAAACCUCUGUCAACAGGGACGAAAAUGACGGUACCUGUGAAGGAAGCUCCGGCUAACUACGUGCCGGCAGCCGCGGUAAUACGUAGGGAGCAAGCGUUAUCCGGAAUUACUGGGUGUAAAGGGAGUGUAGGCGGGACUGUAAGUCAGAUGUGAAGUAUGCCGGCUCAACUGGCAGACUGCAUUUGAAACUGCGGUUCUUGAGUGAAGUAGAGGUAAGCGGAAUUCCUAGUGUAGCGGUGAAAUGCGUAGAUAUUAGGAGGAACAUCAGUGGCGAAGGCGGCUUACUGGGCUUUAACUGACGCUGGGGCUCGAAAGCGUGGGGAGCAAACAGGAUUAGAUACCCUGGUA
Molecule: ribosomal RNA, 434 nt
Filed under: uncultured Ruminococcus sp.
Lineage: Bacteria; Bacillati; Bacillota; Clostridia; Eubacteriales; Oscillospiraceae
Description: partial 16S ribosomal RNA
Rfam family: Bacterial small subunit ribosomal RNA
Source: RNAcentral